Molecule: long non-coding RNA, 391 nt
Organism: Magnolia sinica
Lineage: Eukaryota; Viridiplantae; Streptophyta; Magnoliopsida; Magnoliales; Magnoliaceae
Exons: 3
Source: RefSeq, a predicted model, not a curated record
AAGAGCUGGCAGAGGAGGGCUGGCCGUGAGCUUUGUUACACAGAUGACUCUGGAAGAGAGCAAAGAGGCAGAUACUAGUACUGGUAGAGAAACUCACAGAAUCUCUAGAGGAAUUCAUGACAAGGUGGGUUGAUCCUCUUGAGGCCUGAUCAUGGUGGCCCACUCCGGUUUGCAGCAGCUGCAGCGUUUCUUAGUAAAUUAUACAAAGACUAUCUUGGUAUUAUUAGGAGUUAUGGAGGGAGUCGUGGUUCCCAGUCAUUUUCCAUGGUGUCCUUUGUUGAUAAUGUGGGUUUGAAGCUCAUCAUGUUGUGUGCAUGAUAUCCAAUCUGUCCAUCACAUUCGCCACCACAUUUUCUUCUUAUAUCCCAAAACUCAGGCCCAUUCAAGACUU